GGGAUUGUGGCUCAGUGGUAGAGCACUUGUCUCAUACAAGUGAGACACUUAGUUUGAUUCUCAGUACCA
Molecule: transfer RNA, 69 nt
Filed under: Ictidomys tridecemlineatus (thirteen-lined ground squirrel)
Lineage: Eukaryota; Metazoa; Chordata; Mammalia; Rodentia; Sciuridae
Description: Spermophilus tridecemlineatus (thirteen-lined ground squirrel) tRNA
Rfam family: tRNA
About the family: Transfer RNA (tRNA) molecules are approximately 80 nucleotides in length. Their secondary structure includes four short double-helical elements and three loops (D, anti-codon, and T loops). Further hydrogen bonds mediate the characteristic L-shaped molecular structure. tRNAs have two regions of fundamental functional importance: the anti-codon, which is responsible for specific mRNA codon recognition, and the 3' end, to which the tRNAs corresponding amino acid is attached (by aminoacyl-tRNA synthetases). tRNAs cope with the degeneracy of the genetic code in two manners: having more than one tRNA (with a specific anti-codon) for a particular amino acid; and 'wobble' base-pairing, i.e. permitting non-standard base-pairing at the 3rd anti-codon position.
Source: Rfam by way of RNAcentral